RNAcentral lists this non-coding RNA (364 nucleotides) under Shinella sp. Lineage: Bacteria; Pseudomonadati; Pseudomonadota; Alphaproteobacteria; Hyphomicrobiales; Rhizobiaceae. The record is from RNAcentral.
UCAUCCGCACUAUUGGAUGGUUCCCGGGUCCGGAAACGGAUCGGGGAGUAAAUGGGAAUGUGACGUGGUGGACCCAACCAGGGCGCUGCAAUCACGGCCGACCCCGCGACUGUAGAGUGGCGAGGGACGCUCAUCCGGGUGGAGGGGAUGGCUGCGGUAAAGGGCAAUGGUGCCCCGGACGCGGUUUGUCGACCAGCCGGAAAAGCCACUGGGGUGGCAUCGCGAUAAGCAGGGGUUGGACGCCUCCAUUUCUACGAAUCGUCCACCUUUCGCGAUGCCUUUCCCGGGAAGGCGAGGGCAACCCGCAGGCGUGCGAGCGCCGGACGCCGCGAGCCAGGAAACCUGCCGGCCAAUGCGAAGGGCA